RNAcentral lists this ribosomal RNA (2881 nucleotides) under Stenotrophomonas pavanii. RNAcentral describes it as "23S ribosomal RNA". It matches the Rfam family "Bacterial large subunit ribosomal RNA". The record is from RNAcentral. Lineage: Bacteria; Pseudomonadati; Pseudomonadota; Gammaproteobacteria; Lysobacterales; Lysobacteraceae.
GUUAUAUGGUCAAGCGAAUAAGCGCACACGGUGGAUGCCUUGGCGGUCAGAGGCGAUGAAGGACGUGGCAGCCUGCGAAAAGUAUCGGGGAGCUGGCAACAAGCUUUGAUCCGGUAAUGUCCGAAUGGGGAAACCCACCCGCUUGCGGGUAUCCUGCAGUGAAUACAUAGCUGCUGGAAGCGAACCUGGUGAACUGAAAUAUCUAAGUAACCAGAGGAAAAAGAAAUCACCGAGAUUCCGUAAGUAGCGACGAGCGAACGCGGACUAGCCCUUAAGCUGAUUUGGUUCUAGGAAAACGCUCUGGAAAGAGCGGCCAUAGAAGGUGAUAGCCCUGUAUCUGAAAGGGCCAUUUCAGUGAAGACGAGUAGGGCGGGGCACGUGAAACCCUGUCUGAACAUGGGGGGACCAUCCUCCAAGGCUAAAUACUACUGACCGACCGAUAGUGAACCAGUACCGUGAGGGAAGGCGAAAAGAACCCGGAGAGGGGAGUGAAAUAGAACCUGAAACCGUGUGCGUACAAGCAGUAGGAGCUCCGCAAGGAGUGACUGCGUACCUUUUGUAUAAUGGGUCAGCGACUUACUGUUCGUGCGCUUAACCGUAUAGGGGAGGCGAAGGGAAACCGAGUCUGAUAAGGGCGCAUAGUCGCGGGCAGUAGACCCGAAACCGGGUGACUAGUCAUGCCCAGGGUGAAGGUGCGGUAACACGCACUGGAGGCCCGAACCCACUCCCGUUGCAAAGGUAGGGGAUGAGGUGUGAUUAGGAGUGAAAAGCUAAUCGAACCCGGAGAUAGCUGGUUCUCCUCGAAAGCUAUUUAGGUAGCGCCUCAUAUGUAUCCUCUCGGGGGUAGAGCACUGUUAUGGCUAGGGGGUCAUCGCGACUUACCAAACCAUUGCAAACUCCGAAUACCGAGACGGACUGUAUGGGAGACACACGGCGGGUGCUAACGUCCGUCGUGAAAAGGGAAACAACCCAGACCCACAGCUAAGGUCCCAAAUUUUGUGCUAAGUGGAAAACCAUGUGGAAAGGCACAGACAGCCAGGAGGUUGGCUUAGAAGCAGCCACCCUUUAAAGAAAGCGUAAUAGCUCACUGGUCGAGUCGGUCUGCGGGGAAGAUUUAACGGGGCUAAGCACAGAACCGAAGCUUGGGGUGCAUAACUUUGUUAUGCGCGGUAGAGGAGCGUUCCGUAAGCCGUUGAAGGUGGAUUGAGAAGUCUGCUGGAGGUAUCGGAAGUGCGAAUGCUGACAUGAGUAACGAUAAUGCGGGUGAAAAACCCGCACGCCGAAAGCCCAAGGUUUCCUUGCGCAACGUUAAUCGGCGCAGGGUGAGUCGGCCCCUAAGGCGAGGACGAAAGUCGUAGUCGAUGGGAAGCAGGUUAAUAUUCCUGCACCUCGCGUAAGUGCGAUGGAGGGACGGAGAAGGUUAGGUGUACCAGGCGUUGGUUGUCCUGGGGAAAGGCGGUAGGUUUGGAUCUUUGGCAAAUCCGGGAUCCUUUAAGACCGAGCACCGAGACGAGCCUUUAAGGCGAAGUCACUGAUACCACGCUUCCAGGAAAAGCUCCUAAGCUUCAGCUUACGCAGACCGUACCGUAAACCGACACAGGUGGGUAGGAUGAGAAUUCUCAGGCGCUUGAGAGAACGGGUGAAGGAACUAGGCAACAUGGCACCGUAACUUCGGGAGAAGGUGCACCCUUUUUGGUGGCUCGUGCGAGCUAUAGCUGAAGAGGGUCGCAGUAACCAGGCCGCUGCGACUGUUUAUCAAAAACACAGCACUCUGCAAACACGAAAGUGGACGUAUAGGGUGUGACGCCUGCCCGGUGCUGGAAGGUUAAUUGAUGGGGUCAGCCGCAAGGCGAAGCUCUUGAUCGAAGCCCCAGUAAACGGCGGCCGUAACUAUAACGGUCCUAAGGUAGCGAAAUUCCUUGUCGGGUAAGUUCCGACCUGCACGAAUGGCGUAACGACAGCGGCGCUGUCUCCACCCGAGACUCAGUGAAAUUGAAAUCGCUGUGAAGAUGCAGCGUUCCCGUGGCAAGACGGAAGACCCCGUGAACCUUUACUAUAGCUUUACACUGAACGUUGAGUUCGUCUGUGUAGGAUAGGUGGGAGGCUAUGAACCAUGGCGCUAGCUGUGGCGGAGCCAUCCUUGAAAUACCACCCUGUCGUGCUUGACGUUCUAACCUAGGCCCAUUAUCUGGGGGGACCGUGUAUGGUGGGUAGUUUGACUGGGGCGGUCUCCUCCUAAAGAGUAACGGAGGAGCUCGAAGGUACGCUCAGCGCGGUCGGACAUCGCGCACUGUGUGCAAAGGCAUAAGCGUGCUUGACUGCAAGAUCGACGGAUCAAGCAGGUAGGAAACUAGGACUUAGUGAUCCGGUGGUUCUGUAUGGAAGGGCCAUCGCUCAACGGAUAAAAGGUACUCCGGGGAUAACAGGCUGAUACCGCCCAAGAGUUCAUAUCGACGGCGGUGUUUGGCACCUCGAUGUCGGCUCAUCACAUCCUGGGGCUGUAGUCGGUCCCAAGGGUAUGGCUGUUCGCCAUUUAAAGUGGUACGCGAGCUGGGUUCAGAACGUCGUGAGACAGUUCGGUCCCUAUCUGCCAUGGGCGUUGGAGAUUUGAGAGGGGCUGCUCCUAGUACGAGAGGACCGGAGUGGACGAACCUCUGGUGUUCCGGUUGUCACGCCAGUGGCAUUGCCGGGUAGCUAUGUUCGGAAGCGAUAACCGCUGAAAGCAUCUAAGCGGGAAGCGCGCCUCAAGAUGAGAUCUCCCGGGGCACAAGCCCCCUGAAGGAACCAUGUAGACUACGUGGUUGAUAGGUCAGGUGUGUAAGUACAGCAAUGUAUUGAGCUAACUGAUACUAAUGAUCCGUGCGGCUUGACCAUAUAACCU